CCUACGGGAGGCAGCAGUGAGGAAUAUUGGUCAAUGGACGCAAGUCUGAACCAGCCAUGCCGCGUGCAGGAAGACGGCUCUAUGAGUUGUAAACUGCUUUUGUACGAGGGUAAACGCGGAUACGCGUAUCUGUCUGAAAGUAUCGUACGAAUAAGGAUCGGCUAACUCCGUGCCAGCAGCCGCGGUAAUACGGAGGAUUCAAGCGUUGUCCGGAUUUAUUGGGUUUAAAGGGUGCGUAGGCGGUCGGAUAAGUUAGUGGUGAAAGCCCGAGGCUCAACUUCGGAAUUGCCUCUGAAACGGUUCGGCUAGAGAGUAGUUGCGGUAGGCGGAAUGUAUGGUGUAGCGGUGAAAUGCUUAGAGAUCAUACAGAACACCGAUUGCGAAGGCAGCUUACCAAGCUACUUCUGACGUUGAGGCACGAAAGCGUGGGGAGCAAACAGGAUUAGAUACCCUUGUAGUC
This 460-nucleotide ribosomal RNA is filed under the name uncultured bacterium. RNAcentral describes it as "partial 16S ribosomal RNA". It matches the Rfam family "Bacterial small subunit ribosomal RNA", at positions 338 to 795 of the family's 1533-position model. The record is from RNAcentral.